GCUGGGUGUGGUGGCACACGCCUGUAAUCCCAGCUACUUGGGAGGCUGAGGCAGGAGAAUCGUUUGAACCCGGGAGGCAGAGGUUGCAGUGAGCUGAGAUCACGCCACUGCUCUCCAGCCUGGGUAACAAAGCGAGACUCCGUCUCAA
Pongo abelii (Sumatran orangutan) is the source of this 148-nucleotide unclassified non-coding RNA. It matches the Rfam family "Metazoan signal recognition particle RNA". Rfam says of the family: The signal recognition particle (SRP) is a universally conserved ribonucleoprotein. It is involved in the co-translational targeting of proteins to membranes. The eukaryotic SRP consists of a 300-nucleotide 7S RNA and six proteins: SRPs 72, 68, 54, 19, 14, and 9. The record is from Ensembl. Lineage: Eukaryota; Metazoa; Chordata; Mammalia; Primates; Hominidae.